UCUCUCCCCUGCCCCUUCCUCCCAGCUGCUGAGAGACCCUCUCUUUUCCUGGCUCCUCUGCUCUCCCAACUCCCCCAGCCCUCUUCUUCCAUCUCAUCCUCCUCUCCCGCCCCUGUCCCCUCUGCCUCCAGGAUUCUGCUGGUUCCCCCCGCAGGGAGCACUUUGACCUCUGCUCCAGCUGCUUUGGACCAGGCUCCCCUCCAGCCCCCACUGCCCCCACCGUGAGGGCUGCUGAUCAAGAGGUCCCACCUAGCCAGGUAAGAAGACCCUUGGCAUCCCUGGCCCCUCAGCCUCAUAGUAAGCCCCUAGCCCCACCUGGGGCCCCUGGACAGACCAGGCCCAGCUCCACCCUAUCCAGGAUGCUUUCAGCACGGGAGAACUUUAAAAGCCUGUUGCUCUGGGCGGCUGGGACAGCAGGAAGCUCUGGGCCACUGGGCCA
Molecule: long non-coding RNA, 439 nt
Filed under: Mus pahari (shrew mouse)
Lineage: Eukaryota; Metazoa; Chordata; Mammalia; Rodentia; Muridae
Description: HNF1 homeobox A, opposite strand 2 (MGP_PahariEiJ_G0003158.1)
Source: RNAcentral